Molecule: ribosomal RNA, 301 nt
Filed under: uncultured bacterium
Lineage: Bacteria
Description: partial 16S ribosomal RNA
Rfam family: Bacterial small subunit ribosomal RNA
Source: RNAcentral
CAGUAGCCGCGGUAAUACGGAGGGUGCAAGCGUUAAUCGGAAUUACUGGGCGUAAAGCGUGCGCAGGCGGUUAUAUAAGACAGAUGUGAAAUCCCCGGGCUCAACCUGGGAACUGCAUUUGUGACUGUAUAGCUAGAGUACGGCAGAGGGGGAUGGAAUUCCGCGUGUAGCAGUGAAAUGCGUAGAUAUGCGGAGGAACACCGAUGGCGAAGGCAAUCCCCUGGGCCUGUACUGACGCUCAUGCACGAAAGCGUGGGGAGCAAACAGGAUUAGAUACCCCGGUAGUCCCUGUCUCUUAUAC